This 157-nucleotide non-coding RNA is filed under the name Gemmobacter megaterium. RNAcentral's name for it is "Catellibacterium sp. CF17 6S / SsrS RNA". It matches the Rfam family "6S / SsrS RNA". From Rfam's summary of the family: E. coli 6S RNA was the first non coding RNA to be sequenced, but its function was unknown until recently. It consists of 184 nucleotides that fold into an extended hairpin structure with a large single-stranded internal bulge. The 6S RNA specifically associates with RNA polymerase holoenzyme containing the sigma70 specificity factor. The record is from Rfam by way of RNAcentral. Lineage: Bacteria; Pseudomonadati; Pseudomonadota; Alphaproteobacteria; Rhodobacterales; Paracoccaceae.
CGGUUACUGCUCUUCGCGUGCGAGGCCCUUUUCCAGUGGCCGAUAAGCAUUUCCGAGGGGGCUGGCUCUGCCAGGAUCCUGGUCCUGGUAUCUGGCGCCCACCUGAUCACUCAGGCUCUCGGGAAAUUCACGCCUUCACGGUUGCUGCGGUUUCCGC